This 656-nucleotide ribosomal RNA is filed under the name uncultured bacterium. Its description in RNAcentral is "bacterial SSU rRNA". It matches the Rfam family "Bacterial small subunit ribosomal RNA", at positions 153 to 796 of the family's 1533-position model. The record is from RNAcentral.
GAAACAGAUGCUAAUACCGGAUAACACCACUAGACGCAUGUCUAGAGUUUGAAAGAUGGUUCUGCUAUCACUCUUGGAUGGACCUGCGGUGCAUUAGCUAGUUGGUAAGGUAACGGCUUACCAAGGCAAUGAUGCAUAGCCGAGUUGAGAGACUGAUCGGCCACAUUGGGACUGAGACACGGCCCAAACUCCUACGGGAGGCAGCAGUAGGGAAUCUUCCACAAUGGACGAAAGCCUGAUGGAGCAACGCCGCGUGAGUGAAGAAGGGUUUCGGCUCGUAAAGCUCUGUUGGUAGUGAAGAAAGAUAGAGGUAGUAACUGGCCUUUAUUUGACGGUAAUUACUUAGAAAGUCACGGCUAACUACGUGCCAGCAGCCGCGGUAAUACGUAGGUGGCAAGCGUUGUCCGGAUUUAUUGGGCGUAAAGCGAGUGCAGGCGGUUCAAUAAGUCUGAUGUGAAAGCCUUCGGCUCAACCGGAGAAUUGCAUCAGAAACUGUUGAACUUGAGUGCAGAAGAGGAGAGUGGAACUCCAUGUGUAGCGGUGGAAUGCGUAGAUAUAUGGAAGAACACCAGUGGCGAAGGCGGCUCUCUGGUCUGCAACUGACGCUGAGGCUCGAAAGCAUGGGUAGCGAACAGGAUUAGAUACCCUGGUAGUCC